GUGCUCACUUGGGCAGCACAUAUACUAAAAUUGGAAUGAUACAGAGGAGGUAGCAUGGCCCCUGCACAAGGAUAAGCAUAUAUUGCAAAGUGAUUACUUCAGUA
Zalophus californianus (California sea lion) is the source of this 104-nucleotide small nuclear RNA. The record is from Ensembl. Lineage: Eukaryota; Metazoa; Chordata; Mammalia; Carnivora; Otariidae.